GAAGGUCUAGUUCAGGAGGUAGAGUGCAUGCUUAGCAUGCAGGAGGGCCUGGGUUCAAUACCCGGUACCUCCU
Molecule: transfer RNA, 73 nt
Filed under: Camelus dromedarius (Arabian camel)
Lineage: Eukaryota; Metazoa; Chordata; Mammalia; Artiodactyla; Camelidae
Also listed under: 1 other name
Rfam family: tRNA
About the family: Transfer RNA (tRNA) molecules are approximately 80 nucleotides in length.
Source: Rfam by way of RNAcentral